AUGGGUCGCGUCUGUCGGUGGCUGAGGAAAGGCGGUUCGAGCCUGACGUGGUCGUCGAUGAGGAGCUUCUGGAUGUCACCGGCGCCGGCAAUCCUCGAGGGCAAAGGCUGUGACAAGCGGCGGCGGCGGUGCUUGGGCAGCAACAAUCUGAGCAUGAUGAGCCACCGCGUCGAAGGCGUCGUGGUGGUGCAUUGGAGCUGGAGGAGGCGGCGGGCCAGUGUUGUUUGUGCUCAAGACGUACGAGAUGGUGGACAACCCAUCGACGGAAGCAGCGGUCUGGUGGAGUGA
This 288-nucleotide ribosomal RNA is filed under the name Triticum aestivum (bread wheat). Its description in RNAcentral is "partial small subunit ribosomal RNA". The record is from RNAcentral. Lineage: Eukaryota; Viridiplantae; Streptophyta; Magnoliopsida; Poales; Poaceae.